Long non-coding RNA from Helianthus annuus (common sunflower), 447 nucleotides. RefSeq lists it as uncharacterized. NCBI's taxonomy places the organism in Eukaryota, Viridiplantae, Streptophyta, Magnoliopsida, Asterales, Asteraceae. The record is from RefSeq and is a predicted model, not a curated record. The transcript is spliced from 3 exons.
CCAAAUUGGGAGUCUGGUCGAUCAAGAAACAAGCAGGGGGCGACAUCCCCAUUUCCAAACCCUAACUCAAGCAAAAUCCCUUCAAUUGAAGCCCCAAAUCAGUUCCAAAUCGAGCUCUAAUCACAUAUUAGUAAACACCUCGUUGUAAGGAUCAAAAGGCAAAGAGUCCGGUUCCUCUAGCGGGCAAGCCGGAGGGGAUUCACGAGUAAAAGGCGCGCUCUAAAGUUCUCAGGUACCCAAGUAAAGGAUGAAGAUCAAGCAAGCGAGUCGAACCGAACACACACAUUUUUAGAACGCUUCCGCAUCCGAACUUUUGUUUUAAAAACUAUGUAAACUAAUGGUAGUUACCGUCUUGAAUGUGGUUUGUAACAACAAUACAUGUAUGUUGUGUUUAGUUUUGGGUUUAAAUGAUGAAAGUUUUUGUUAAGUCGUCAUUUUGGCGUUAAA